Molecule: small nuclear RNA, 107 nt
Organism: Diceros bicornis minor
Lineage: Eukaryota; Metazoa; Chordata; Mammalia; Perissodactyla; Rhinocerotidae
Source: RefSeq, a predicted model, not a curated record
GUGCUCCCUUAGGUAGCACAUACACCAAAAUUGGAAUAAUACAGAGAAGAUUAGUAGGGUCACUGUGCAAGGGCAACAGGCAAAUUCAUGAGGUAUUCAAAAAAAAA